RNAcentral lists this ribosomal RNA (253 nucleotides) under uncultured bacterium. Its description in RNAcentral is "partial 16S ribosomal RNA". It matches the Rfam family "Bacterial small subunit ribosomal RNA", at positions 524 to 776 of the family's 1533-position model. The record is from RNAcentral.
GACGGAGGAUGCAAGUGUUACCCGGAAUCACUGGGCGUAAAGCGUCUGUAGGUGGUUUAAUAAGUCAACUGUUAAAUCUUGAGGCUCAACCUCAAAAUCGCAGUCGAAACUAUUAGGCUAGAGUAUAGUAGGGGUAAAGGGAAUUUCCAGUGGAGCGGUGAAAUGCGUAGAGAUUGGAAAGAACACCGAUGGCGAAGGCACUUUACUGAGACAUUUCUGACGCUGAGAAACGAAAGCGUGGGUAGCAAACAGG